UCCAUAAAAUCUGAAAACACACGAAAAUGACUUUAAACAUUAAAAUAACUAAGGAAACACGACAUAAAUGCGCAAGAACAAGCCAACUAAGUCGCAUAAAUGUGCUCCUAUCAGUAAUAUCUUAAAGUGACAACCCCUGUGGCUUUUCACCUUUGGAUAUCAUCUCACAAGUCCAUACAUGUGUCCUUUUUGUGAUUUCAUGACACAUUCAUUAUAAGGGUUAUGAAAGUGAUUUUCUAUCAUAUACGAAAACACCUUCUCAAAUCUUCAACAUUUGAGAUUUAAUUUCCCCAAAUAACAUCCUUGAGAUAGCCUAGCUAUAUCAAUAAGUCCAAUUUCAAGUCUAUACUUUAAAAUUGACCGUGUCACGUUUUGUCAUUUUUCGAGUAACAUCUAUUUUUUAUCAAGUCUAUCAAAUAGACUUUAUUCAUAUCUUGUUGCUCAAAUUAUGACAUCACUCCCACUGGCCUUGUUGUAACUUAGCAUUCAUUCAAAAACUUAACACUUAUAUUUUCUUGAUUUGAAUGCAUAUUGCUCCCAUUAACUUGUCUUGGAUCUAUUGACAAUCAUUGAGAUCCAUUAGCUUAUUGAUGAUGUCUUAACAAUUUUGAAACUAUCAACAACGCUAGCUAACACAAGUUAUUUAAACGAACAUACACAAAAGAAUUCCUUCUCAAGUAAUUCCAUUUGAAAUGUGUGACUUGCUUUAUCAAGUCUAUUCAUUUAAAUCAUAUGGUGUCAUACACCAUACUCUAAGUUUUAGUCAUACUAAGACCUUUAAUGUAGUCAUAUAAGAAUUAUCCAAGUCUUUAGUGGAAGCAUGGCUCCUACUAAGGAUAUAGAAACUCAACCAUUCCUUCUAGGUGGUUGAUAUAAUUCUUUAUCAAAACUACAUAGAGCGUUAUAGUUACAUGAGAUGUUGAAUUUGGAUUGUCUUGUUGUUAAACCAUAUGUUGUGACUCAUUUUAAAACUAUUCCCUUUUGUUUCAUCAAAUUUGUCCAUACGCUUUGUUAUUAGCUUGUUCUCCUAAAAGAGAAUGAUGGACAACUCCCAACAUAUAACCAUUUUAUGUUAGGUUGACGAAACCAACAUUCAAAGACUAUUCUUUAGAAUGUUACACAACAUAGAAUUUUAACUUUUGAAGAGCUUGAGUCCUUUAACAACUAAAAUUACAAACUCUUAAUAAUAGUCAAGUACUAUUAUUCUUUAGACAACUAUAAACCAAUCAUAUUCAAGUUUAUAUCCUUUUUCACACCUCCCACUAUUUCUCAUGACUUUAAUGAGAAAUCACUUCAUACAUUCAAAAUGUAUAAACGUGGAGUAUACGGGUAGAGGACAUUGUGUAGUAGCUUUAAAACCUUUUAAGCUCGUUUGUUUCAAUCUUCACUAAGUUAAUGUUUCGUUAUUAAGUGACUAAAGUCUUUAAACAUUUUAUAGAUUUAUACACUUCUUUCUUGGUUUAAUCACUAACACAAUUGACAUUUUAAAACCAAUUGUAAGAAUGCUUAAUUAGUUGUUCAAACUACUAAUUGAAUCAAGAGUGAUCUUGAUUAUUGUGGUUUAAGUGAUAACCAUAUAAGAAACGUUUUUCUUAUUACUUAUAUCAUUAUAAUGUGAUCUUCCUUUUCUUCAAGAAAGGAAUUUCUAGACAUUUGUCAAUUCAUAUAGAACUCAUAGGUAGACAAUUGGAACCAAAUCUAAAGAUUCAUUGUAUCCUUCUAUGUCCAACACGUGAGAUCUAUCCAUAAUUGAUAAGUCUAAAGUUUGGUUAUCACAUUACAAUAACUGAUAUAAUUCUUGUAUCUCUACUAGGAUACAACAAGACAAUAUUCAAUUCAUAACACUACUUUAAGGAAAUAAUAUAUUAGAAGGCAUUCAUCAC
This 1883-nucleotide long non-coding RNA is filed under the name Malus domestica (apple). RNAcentral describes it as "long non-coding RNA (MDOM_LNC008617)". Lineage: Eukaryota; Viridiplantae; Streptophyta; Magnoliopsida; Rosales; Rosaceae. The record is from RNAcentral.